AUUUAAAAUUUUCUUUUAAAGAUGCAGUUUACGUGAAGAAUGUGCUGGUAUUUCUCAAGAAACAAUUGAUUGGCUAUCCUAUAAACAUGACAAAUGUAUAACAAUAACCAAAAUUCAUCCAGAAAGUAUCCAAAGUACAACUGCUCGAGUACUUUCUCUAACAGUUAAUAAUCUUCCCGUGUCAGAAGAUAAAUUAUUCUGUGCAUUCAAAGUUAUAGAUCGAACUAUAAUACGAACUAUAAUAACGAAUGCUACAAGAACAGCUUCUGGUGUUACGUGUGCAACUCCAAACACAUUUUUUAUUCCGCCUAUUCCAUCUGGUCAUCAUAAUCUCAGAUCUAGGCUGUAUAUCGUAGAU
Long non-coding RNA from Centruroides sculpturatus (bark scorpion), 358 nucleotides. RefSeq lists it as uncharacterized. NCBI's taxonomy places the organism in Eukaryota, Metazoa, Arthropoda, Arachnida, Scorpiones, Buthidae. The record is from RefSeq and is a predicted model, not a curated record. The transcript has 3 exons.